Molecule: ribosomal RNA, 240 nt
Filed under: uncultured bacterium
Lineage: Bacteria
Description: partial 16S ribosomal RNA
Rfam family: Bacterial small subunit ribosomal RNA
Source: RNAcentral
CCGGCAAACGGGUGCGGAACACGUACACAACCUUCCUUAAAGUGGGGGAUAGCCCAGAGAAAUUUGGAUUAAUACCCCGUAAGAUUAUGAGAUGGCAUCAUUUUAUAAUUAAAGCUCCGGCGCUUAAAGAUGGGUGUGCGGCUGAUUAGGUAGUUGGUGAGGGUAACGGCCCACCAAGCCUUCGAUCAGUAACUGGUGUGAGAGCACGACCAGUCACACGGGCACUGAGACACGGGCCCG